CAGUAUUCUUUUGUAAUUGUGUUAUAAAUUAAAUGCCACUUUGUACUGGGAAGAAGGGUAGAAACGAAAAAAAUGUAACUAUUUUCAUCCCUUCCCCUCACUCCUUUUACACGUUAUGUUAAACGCGAAGUAUCUAUUAUGCAUUAUUCAUUAAGUUGAAUAAUGUGUAAAUUACCAAAUGAAUAUCCUCAUCGCGCAUCAUGUGUUAUGCACCGGUAUCAUGUUAACUCGCGGGAACAUAUAAUGAUGAAGGACUAGCUCGUUUGACGAACAAUCGACCAAACACACUAUACCUAUUUGUUUCGGAGUGUUUUGAACAACCAC
This is a non-coding RNA of Cinara cedri, 324 nucleotides long. The record is from the annotation of a GenBank genome assembly. Lineage: Eukaryota; Metazoa; Arthropoda; Insecta; Hemiptera; Aphididae.